RNAcentral lists this ribosomal RNA (301 nucleotides) under uncultured bacterium. Its description in RNAcentral is "partial 16S ribosomal RNA". It matches the Rfam family "Bacterial small subunit ribosomal RNA", at positions 509 to 807 of the family's 1533-position model. The record is from RNAcentral.
CAGUAGCCACGGGAAUACGGAGGGUGCAAGCGUUAAUCGGAAUUACUGGGCGUAAAGCGUGCGUAGGCGGUUCGUUAAGUCUGCUGUGAAAUCCCCGGGCUCAACCUGGGAAUGGCAGUGGAUACUGGCAAGCUAGAGUGUGUCAGAGGAUGGUGGAAUUCCCGGUGUAGCGGUGAAAUGCGUAGAGAUCGGGAGGAACAUCAGUGGCGAAGGCGGCCAUCUGGGACAACACUGACGCUGAGGCACGAAAGCGUGGGGAGCAAACAGGAUUAGAUACCCCUGUAGUCCCUGUCUCUUAUAC